GUCGUAUCGGUUCGAUCGGGAUACUCAUCAAAUAAUACAGAAAACCGAGAAGACAUCUUCUAUUAAUGGCGGGCCACAUAAACUCCUAAGGAACUAAGCUGCAAAGCCGGUGGAUUACAAAGAUAGGGGAGCUCUCAAAACAUAUAUGCUCGGAGUUUUCAUCACAUCAUCGGUACGACCAUUUU
Molecule: small RNA, 185 nt
Filed under: uncultured Prevotella sp.
Lineage: Bacteria; Pseudomonadati; Bacteroidota; Bacteroidia; Bacteroidales; Prevotellaceae
Description: Bacteroidales-1 6S-Bacteroidales RNA suggested
Rfam family: Bacteroidales-1 6S-Bacteroidales RNA suggested
Source: RNAcentral